RNAcentral lists this ribosomal RNA (432 nucleotides) under uncultured bacterium. Its description in RNAcentral is "partial 16S ribosomal RNA". It matches the Rfam family "Bacterial small subunit ribosomal RNA", at positions 29 to 506 of the family's 1533-position model. The record is from RNAcentral.
GCGAACGCUGGCGGCAGGCCUAACACAUGCAAGUCGAACGCACCUUUCGGGGUUAGUGGCGGACGGGUGAGUAACACGUGGGAACGUGCCUUUAGGUUCGGAAUAACUCAGGGAAACUUGUGCUAAUACCGAAUGUGCCCUUCGGGGGAAAGAUUAAUCGCCUUUAGAGCGGCCCGCGUCUGAUUAGCUAGUUGGUUGAGGUAAUGGCUCACCAAGGCGACGAUCAGUAGCUGGUCUGAGAGGAUGAUCAGCCACAUUGGGACUGAGACACGGCCCAAACUCCUACGGGAGGCAGCAGUGGGGAAUCUUGCGCAAUGGGCGAAAGCCUGACGCAGCCAUGCCGCGUGAAUGAUGAAGGUCUUAGGAUUGUAAAAUUCUUUCACCGGGGACGAUAAUGACGGUACCCGGAGAAGAAGCCCCGGCUAACUUCGU